RNAcentral lists this ribosomal RNA (292 nucleotides) under uncultured bacterium. RNAcentral describes it as "partial 16S ribosomal RNA". It matches the Rfam family "Bacterial small subunit ribosomal RNA", at positions 505 to 796 of the family's 1533-position model. The record is from RNAcentral.
GUGUCAGCAGCCGCGGUAAUACGUAGGGCGCAAGCGUUGUCCGGAAUUAUUGGGCGUAAAGAGCUCGUAGGCGGCUUGUCGCGUCGGACGUGAAAGCUCGAGGCUUAACCUCGGGUCUGCGUUCGAUACGGGCAGGCUAGAGGCAGGUAGGGGAGAACGGAAUUCCCGGUGUAGCGGUGAAAUGCGCAGAUAUCGGGAGGAACACCGGUGGCGAAGGCGGUUCUCUGGGCCUGUACUGACGCUGAGGAGCGAAAGCGUGGGGAGCGAACAGGAUUAGAUACCCGUGUAGUCC